UGGUGUCUGAACUGGCCUUCCACCCUCAAACUUUGCCUUUUUCUGGAGUGAAUGAGGGUAUUUCAUCUUUUUCAAUUAAGAAGGUCUCAAAGGACGUUUGUCAACCAAGGAGCAAAAUUCAAGAAACUAGUCGAACUCUCUAUCCCAACAAUUGAAAUUAUGUGGUAACUCUGUCUCAAUUUAUUGGCGCUUUUGAGGUAUUCUAAAAUGUUUGCACUAUUUCGCUAAUAAUGUUAUUCUUUAUAACUUUUACAAAUUUUAAUAAUUCAAACUGGAUUAACUAAUCUGUGAAAAAAAUGGAUUAACUAAUCAGAUUAAACAUUAAUAUGUUAUUUUCUUUGUACUCUUAUGUUUUCUUCCACAACAAUUUCUACAAUACUAAGUUAUAAGAUAUGUGCCUAAUUAGUUAGUACUGACUUACGAAAUAAGACGGAAGUAAUUAAUAUACUCCUAAGUCCAACUAUAUAUUGCGGUUUAGAACACAAUAUAAUUUGAAAUUGGAGGAAUGAUUUUUUAUUAUUGUAUCGAAACUGAAAUACUCCAACAUGAAAUCCAGAUCUUUUGUGCACGAAUUUAGGAUCAGGCGACAUUGGAAGGCAAUAAUUAGGGGCAUUAUCUAACAUUAAUUGAUAAAUAAAUGAAAAGGCAAAGCCACACCCACUGAACGAAAGUGAAAGCAAACAUAAAAGUACUUUACAACAAUUUUCCAAUUAACACAUCGCAAUAAAUAAAUAUGGAGUUACGUAAGGGUCAUCAUUUCGGGGCACACUUGCAUCUUUUGUGGACAAUAUCUUUAGCAAAAGGAAAAUGCAAGAAUGUACCACCUUUAAUUCUUUCGAUAGGAGUUUAGGUUCUCUCAUUGAUAGCGUGUAGAUUUUUUACACUAUCAUGUUAACUAGACCUAUAAUAAUAGGUAACUAUACAUGACGAAUUUGAUAUGGUAACUUAUAAAUAUUGUAGUAGUCCAUUGUAAUUAAUUAAAUUACAUUAAUAAUACAGUAUAAAGAAUUUUACAUUAUCAAUAUAUUUAAUUUAAGCGCUCGCCUUCCUUUAUUAAGUCCCACAAACACUUCAUGAUGUACAUCACUCUUUAGCCUUGGUUGUCAUUGUCCCAUCCCCCUAAUCAACUUAACUUUGUAUAUUCCCCCUCCUCUCUCUAUAAAACCCACAGCUCAAGCCUCUCUUUAUAUAUUUGUUCACUACUUGCAUUGCUUUCCCCCAAAGAUAAGUGAAAUUCGAUACGAAAUAUGGGUGUUCUUGAUUAUUUGUCAAAUUUUUGCACCGUUACCAGCACAAGACGACGUACCAGAAGGAAACCAUUGCAGACAGUGGAGAUAAAAGUGAAGAUGGACUGUGAUGGAUGCGAAAGAAGAGUCAAGAAUGCAGUUAAACGCAUGAAAGGUUACUAUUUUCAUAAAUUUUCGGUUAAGGACCGUUGAAAGUUGAUAUGAUAUAUAUAAA
Lycium ferocissimum is the source of this 1461-nucleotide long non-coding RNA. RefSeq lists it as uncharacterized. The transcript is spliced from 3 exons. The record is from RefSeq and is a predicted model, not a curated record. NCBI's taxonomy places the organism in Eukaryota, Viridiplantae, Streptophyta, Magnoliopsida, Solanales, Solanaceae.